CCCAGCUGUCAGUCUGAGUGUUCUCUGUCCCGUGUUUACCCGGUUUGUUACUUUGCUCUGUUUUCCCUGUCUGUCGUUUGUUUGUUGCCUGCCCUGACCUACUGCCUGUUCUUCGAUUACGAUUUCUGCAUUCUCUACAUUGUUGUGUUUGCCGGUGUUGAUCUUUGCCUGUUGUUUACAAGUGAGUUAAUAAAGCUUGCAUAUGGAUCCCCUGCAUUACGACCCAUCAUUACACCUAUUUUGUUUCAUAUUGUACUGCAAAUUUUCACGACUGUCGUGCCUGUUGCUCUAGUGCUGCUUCUCAUUGGCCUUUUAUCAGCUGGAGUGAUAUGGUGGAAAAAAAAGACCAAAGGCUCUGGAACAGUGACACAAUCUUCCAGAGAGACAAAUGAAGAUUAUGAAAAUUAUCAAAAUUUGCAUCCUGUUCAAACAAAAGAAAAUGACAAGGGUUUAGACCCAACCACCAGCCAAUCAGAUUCAGUCUACCAGAAUCUGUCCUAUAUCAAUAAACAUUAAGAUUCUGGAUACUUCUGUUUGCUAGCCAAGUGGACUGGUUUGAGCUGUCAAACUGAUUAAUGUAACCCCAUUGUUUGUUUCUUUCCACAAGUUUUUGUAUCUUUUUUUGUGAAAUACUCUUUUGUGCUUUGGAUCAUUUCAAAUGUUUUUUUAUGAAGGACAAAUCACACACUAUUUGCAUUGUAUGUUUGCUAAUGGAAGUCUCAAGGUAGCUGGUCAUGUGAAUAACGAGAGUUGCUCUAUAAAGAUAUUCAGCUCAUGUCUGGCUUUAUUUUUAAGCCUGGCACUUGAUUCCCGUGGCUCAGGCCAUGGCUCAUCAUGGCGCUCACAAUUGGUGGAGUAUGAGACAGGAAUCCUCUUUCUCUCUCCCUCUCCAGCAACUCCAUAGGUCGCAUUUUGGACUUGGAAGCUUGUUUCACAAUUUCUUCCUAGCAAAACAACAACCUAAUGUUGUCUUUUGCAUCCUUUAAACAGUUGGUAAAGUAAGUUUUCAAAUCAGAUUUAAUCUGUAUUUGCAACUUUGGAACUUUGUAGUAUUAAAUUUUAAUUAUUUCUCAUAUUGCCCUCCAACUACUUUAUUGUAAAUCCACAAACAGGCUCUAAGCAGGACCUAUGAUGCACUUAACAAAUAUGAUUCAACAUCUUUAGAUCUACUUAAAAAUAAUACAGAGACAGGUGUAGACAAACCAUAUUCAAAGGACAACUGUGACAAAAUAAUUCAGGGACUUUAUUAAUCAAGCAAUUGCCUUAGACAUGCUGUAAUACAAUUUGGCCUAACAUCAGACUUUUUAAGAUUAAAGCUGACAGAUCCCACAUGAUAGAUGACAGCAGUCUCCCUCAGCUCUGCUGCAUAUGUUCUGGACAUGACAUAUGUUCUAGACCUUCUCUGGGCUUUUUGGAGAGGUGGUACAGUAUAGAGCCAUCUCCAUUUAUUGCAUUGUUUAGUGUGUUAAAACAAUGCAAAAUUAUGAA
Molecule: long non-coding RNA, 1488 nt
Organism: Tachysurus fulvidraco (yellow catfish)
Lineage: Eukaryota; Metazoa; Chordata; Actinopteri; Siluriformes; Bagridae
Exons: 4
Source: RefSeq, a predicted model, not a curated record